This 45-nucleotide ribosomal RNA is filed under the name uncultured Cortinarius. Its description in RNAcentral is "partial 18S ribosomal RNA". Lineage: Eukaryota; Fungi; Basidiomycota; Agaricomycetes; Agaricales; Cortinariaceae. The record is from RNAcentral.
GGGCGUUCCUGUUUUGCUUAGUGCGUGCCUGCGGAAGGAUCAUUA